CACCACUGGUCAAAAUCUGGGGACAGACAUCCCAAUCUGGCUGGAUGAGCUUGCGUGUGC
This 60-nucleotide transfer RNA is filed under the name Diaphanoeca grandis. Lineage: Eukaryota; Choanoflagellata; Acanthoecida; Stephanoecidae. The record is from RNAcentral.